This is a long non-coding RNA of Bos taurus (domestic cattle), 1401 nucleotides long. NCBI's taxonomy places the organism in Eukaryota, Metazoa, Chordata, Mammalia, Artiodactyla, Bovidae. The record is from Ensembl.
UUUACCCACUACUGAUCCUGGGCCAAGCCAAGAGUACUUUUGCAUGUUAGUUCAUAUUUCAGAAUCCUCAUACUGCUCUUUUUCAGAAAAGCCUUAUUUCCGCAUUUUCACAAAAGUGGAGCCCGUGGUUCAGGGAGAUGCAGCAGCUGACUCAAGACUGCGGAGACAGUAGGUCAGAGAUGGACCAGGAUGUGGUCUUCCAGCACUGAUACCAGCCCUGUCUGUCCCAGCCUGAGAGGCGGCCUUCUGCAAUGCUCUCCGUGGAAGCUUCAUCCAGGCUUGGUCUGAGCUCCUCUGGUAUUCCCUGAGAAAGCCUAAUUUCAAAGGUUGUCCAGGUGAGCUAAAAUCUGCCUCCCUGUCACUUUCUCUCUCAGGCCCUCGAAGUCCUAAAUCUAACAUCAAGCAAAAAGGGAAAUUCAGGAAUCUGCCCUUGGCCAUAUCUGUUCUUCAGAGAUGGGGAAAUGGCCCCAGAUGGUCCCUGAUUCUGUCCCAGGACUGGCUGGUGGUGGGGUGUAGUGUCUGCACCCUCCCAAGGAGACUGACCGUCAGAACCCUGUCUCUGUGGGCCUUCUCAGGCUCUCUGACUGCUCCGCGUGGCUCCGGGUGGGAGUUAGGGAAAUCUGGAGGUUAAAGGUGCAACCAAGUGAGCCUGCCAGGCAGGCCCCAGGUAAAAGGGAUGGAUGGGGACUCCAGCCCAGGCCCAGAGAACACCGAGGACGCACCACUGAGUGGGCUGUGACCUGUGGCUGGGGGAGAGCCCUUGGGCCCUAGAGGGCACAUGCUCCCCACACAUCCCAGCUUAGCCCAGGGCCAGGUAGGGGAGGUGCUGAUGCACAAGCAAUAAUGGGCCAGAUGAUAGCUUUCAGAGCUCGUUGAAGGAGGCAGGCAGGGCAAGCUUCAUUUUGGUUUACAGAUAUGGCAAUGGAGGCCCAGAGAACUCAGAUGGCUUUCCAAGGCCACACAGCCCCGAAGGCAGGACCCUGGGCUCCUUUUCAUCUGUCAACUCUAGGAGGAUGGGUCUGGGCACAGCCACGAAGGAGCAGAUGUGAGGAAGUGCCCACGGGUGAUGGAGGAACAAUGAGUCCACAUCCCUUUUCCUAUGGUUGACCUAACUAUCUGCGAAGAGAAAUUUGGACAUCUUUCUGAGGACCCCAGUUGGUUCACGGAAGAAUUCACCAAGCUGACAAUGUUUUGAGAACUUACCUGGGGGACUGACAGAUCCUCCUUUCUACUUGCUUCACCUUUGAAGAGAAAAGCUGGAUCCUUGCUUCAGCCUGGGCACAUGCCGGUAAACUGGCAGCCCCACAUCAAGGACAUACAAUCUACCUUGCAAGAGAGAGCGCAGCCCUUGACCAAGACCUCCACUGGGCUACCAGCAAAGAGGUAGAGGGCUUACACCAA